This 402-nucleotide RNase P RNA is filed under the name Planctomycetaceae bacterium. RNAcentral's name for it is "RNase P RNA component class A". It matches the Rfam family "Bacterial RNase P class A". Rfam says of the family: Ribonuclease P (RNase P) is a ubiquitous endoribonuclease, found in archaea, bacteria and eukarya as well as chloroplasts and mitochondria. Its best characterised activity is the generation of mature 5'-ends of tRNAs by cleaving the 5'-leader elements of precursor-tRNAs. The record is from RNAcentral. Lineage: Bacteria; Pseudomonadati; Planctomycetota; Planctomycetia; Planctomycetales; Planctomycetaceae.
GCAGAAGAUCAGGCGUUCGCUGGAUCUGAAAGGAUCUGGAGGAAAGUCCGGGCUCCGAAGGACACGGUGGUGGGUAACGCCCACCGUCCGCGAGGAUCGGGCAAGUGCAACAGAAAGCAAACCGCCGAACGCGAAUGCGAUGUCGAGCUUGUAUCGACUUCGUAUUCGGCGUGGUAAGGGUGAAACGGUGCGGUAAGAGCGCACCAGCGAUUCAGGUGACUGAGUCGGCUGGGUAAACCCCAUCGGGAGCAAGGCCAAGCAGAAGGAAUCACCGUCCUGCGACGGUGGCGAAGCGGUCCGUUUCGCUUGACCUUCGGGUAGGCCGCGUCAGGUGCCGAGCAAUCGGCAUCGCAGAUAAAUGAACGCCCUCGACAGAACCCGGCUUAUCGAUCUUCUGCCAGC